Molecule: ribosomal RNA, 449 nt
Filed under: uncultured bacterium
Lineage: Bacteria
Description: partial 16S ribosomal RNA
Rfam family: Bacterial small subunit ribosomal RNA
Source: RNAcentral
GUCGAGAAUCUUUCACAAUGGGGGCAACCCUGAUGGAGCGACGCCGCGUGGAGGAUAAGGUCUUCGGAUUGUAAACUCCUGUCAUGCGUGAACAAGGUUGCUUGGUUAAUACCUGGGCAAAUUGAUGGUAACGCAAGAGGAAGAGACGGCUAACUCUGUGCCAGCAGCCGCGGUAAUACAGAGGUCUCAAGCGUUGUUCGGAAUCACUGGGCGUAAAGGGUGCGUAGGUGGCGUGGUAAGUCAGAUGUGAAAGCCCGGGGCUCAACCUCGGAACUGCAUCCGAUACUGCCAUGCUAGAGUACUGGAGAGGUGACUAGAAUUCUCGGUGUAGCAGUGAAAUGCGUAGAUAUCGAGAGGAAUACCAAAGGCGUAGGCAGGUCACUGGACAGUUACUGACACUGAGGCACGAAGGCCAGGGGAGCGAAUGGGAUUAGAAACCCCGGUAGUCC